AAAAAGGCAAACCCUGAGUUUGCGUGUCCAACUUUGACUGUCCGUCUUAUAUGAAAUUUUUUUAUAAUUCGUAUUUUUAUUGUUGUUAGAUGAUAAAACAUGAUUAAUAUUUUAUGCGUGACUUGUUUUUUUAUUUUUUUUAUAAUUUUUUUAAAUAAGACGGACGGUUAAAUGUUGGGCACGGAAACC
Oryza sativa Japonica Group (Japanese rice) is the source of this 189-nucleotide microRNA precursor. It matches the Rfam family "MIR812 microRNA precursor family". The record is from Rfam. Lineage: Eukaryota; Viridiplantae; Streptophyta; Magnoliopsida; Poales; Poaceae.